GUGCCUUAAACUAAUGAGUAAGGAAAAUAAACAAGCCUUGGUGACGCUUGGCUUACAUGUUAGAAAAAUCUAACCUUUAAAUUUUUGUAGGAGUACAGGUCGUCCCGUGGGGUUAUGCAUACUUCGCAUGAUUCCUGGUGAAGCGAUCUGCUCC
This is a small nuclear RNA of Leptinotarsa decemlineata (Colorado potato beetle), 154 nucleotides long. NCBI's taxonomy places the organism in Eukaryota, Metazoa, Arthropoda, Insecta, Coleoptera, Chrysomelidae. The record is from RefSeq and is a predicted model, not a curated record.